GAUGAACGCUGGCGGCGUGCCUAAUACAUGCAAGUCGAGCGAACAGACGAGGAGCUUGCUCCUUUGACGUUAGCGGCGGACGGGUGAGUAACACGUGGGUAACCUACCUAUAAGACUGGGAUAACUUCGGGAAACCGGAGCUAAUACCGGAUAAUAUUUCGAACCGCAUGGUUCGAUAGUGAAAGAUGGCUUUGCUAUCACUUAUAGAUGGACCUGCGCCGUAUUAGCUAGUUGGUAAGGUAACGGCUUACCAAGGCAACGAUACGUAGCCGACCUGAGAGGGUGAUCGGCCACACUGGAACUGAGACACGGUCCAGACUCCUACGGGAGGCAGCAGUAGGGAAUCUUCCGCAAUGGGCGAAAGCCUGACGGAGCAACGCCGCGUGAGUGAUGAAGGUCUUCGGAUCGUAAAACUCUGUUAUUAGGGAAGAAUAAACGUGUAAGUAACUGUGCACGUCUUGACGGUAACUAAUCAGAAAGCCACGGCUAACUACGUG
Molecule: ribosomal RNA, 497 nt
Filed under: uncultured bacterium
Lineage: Bacteria
Description: partial 16S ribosomal RNA
Rfam family: Bacterial small subunit ribosomal RNA
Source: RNAcentral